This 329-nucleotide long non-coding RNA is filed under the name Monodelphis domestica (gray short-tailed opossum). RNAcentral's name for it is "lncRNA (ENSMODG00000041670.1)". The record is from RNAcentral. Lineage: Eukaryota; Metazoa; Chordata; Mammalia; Didelphimorphia; Didelphidae.
UCUAAAUCAUUUAAACCAAUAUUGGUGAAAUUAAUUAACAUUUUAUCUGGUUAUCUAGAUGGAGAAGAAGCCUGGCAUAGAGGAAGAAAAAAACAGAUUUGGAGCCAGAAAGUUCUGAGAUCUAGUCCUGUUUCUGACAUAUAUUGACUGUGUGACCCUGGAUAAGUCACUGAAUCUCUCAGUGUCCCAGAAAACCUUAUACAUUUUCUACAGAGAAGGCCUCAUUCUACAUUAGUCUUCUCCAGUGGCCUUCUGAAGACUGUUUCCACAGAGGAAAAGAAAGUAUAUCUUAUGUUUGCAGUCCAGAACCUCUAUACUUUCUACCUUUU